CAGCCUCAGCAAUUUAGCAAGGCCCUAAGUAGCUCAGAAAGACCCUGUAUCUAAAAUUUUUUUAAAAGGGCUGAGGAUGUGGCUCAAUGGUUGAGUGCCCCUGGGUUCAACUGAUGAUACCAAUUAAAAAAAAAAAAAAUUCUACACAAUGUUCAUAGUACUAUUCCUAAUAGCCCCAAAGUAGAAACAACCAAAUGUCCAUCACCUGAUGAAUAGACAUGCGGAAUGUGGUAUUUCCAUAUAGUAACAGUAUUAUACAACCAUAAAAAAAAAAUGAAGUACUAAUAGAGGCUAAACCUAAGUGCAAGAAGCCAGAAACAAAAAAGCCAUGGAUGUAUGACUUCAUUUUUAUAAAAUACCCAGAAGAGACAAAUCCAUAGAGACAAAGCCUGUUAGUUGUUACUAGGGACUAGGGGGAAGGGAAAAUGGGCAUAACCACUCAAAGGACAUGGGAUUUCAUUUUGGAGUGACAAAAAUGUUAGGGCUAAACAGUGAUGAUUGCACAACAGUCACUUAGAAGGUUGCUGAAAUGUACAAUUAAAUAAAAGCUAAUAUGACAAAUUUUACGUGUAUUUUACUACAAUUAAAAAGUAUUAUGUAACAAAGUACAUAGUAAAAUCCACACAUGUUGAAAAUCAUAGGGAAAUACUUCGAUUAUCUAGUCCUUUGUUCCAUGUUCAUUUUAAAUUAAUCAAUCAGUCUUGGUUAAUGACCACUCUUGGUAUUGGUUUGGUUAUUCAGAAACCUUGAAACUGAUUCUAGAACAGGUUUCUUGGAAGAGAUCCCAAAGCUGAGGGAAUCCCCAGUAUAUAAGUGAAUAAAUACCUAAGUUGUGGCUAAAUGGUCCCAGGUUACUAGGCAGGGGCUGGGGAUGAGGAGUAGAAAAUAGUGUAACUUAGAAGUAUAACUAUAGGCUAUUUAUUUUACCUAGAUGGAGAAACCAAAUACUGCAUUGAAGUUUCAAUUAUCCUGGCAUAUAUCCUUUAACUUAUAUUUUAUUUUUUCUUGUAACAGAUUUCUGACAUUGGAAGUAUGUAACUGGAAUAUAUCAAUUGUGU
This 1058-nucleotide long non-coding RNA is filed under the name Marmota monax (woodchuck). The record is from RNAcentral. Lineage: Eukaryota; Metazoa; Chordata; Mammalia; Rodentia; Sciuridae.